This 151-nucleotide unclassified non-coding RNA is filed under the name Quercus canariensis. Its description in RNAcentral is "partial internal transcrobed spacer 1". Lineage: Eukaryota; Viridiplantae; Streptophyta; Magnoliopsida; Fagales; Fagaceae. The record is from RNAcentral.
CCCUCGCCCCCUCYUGCGGGCGGGGACCUCGCGUCUCCUGCCYGCAAACCGAACCCCGGCGCGGAACGCGCCAAGGAAAUCUAACCAAGAGAGCCAUGCCGGAGGCCCCGGACACGGUGCGCCCCCGKMGUCGGCGUCUUAUGAAUUAUUC